This 192-nucleotide small RNA is filed under the name bovine gut metagenome. RNAcentral describes it as "Bacteroidales-1 6S-Bacteroidales RNA suggested". It matches the Rfam family "Bacteroidales-1 6S-Bacteroidales RNA suggested", at positions 10 to 165 of the family's 179-position model. RNAcentral also lists the same sequence under 1 other name. The record is from RNAcentral.
GGAUCGAUCGGGAUACUCAUCAAAUUAUUACUGAAAACCGAGAACGCAUUUAACUAAUGGCGGGCCACGCCCCUGUCGCCAGGUCUUCGAGCCUGGAGUUUCGGCAGUUAAGGUAACUCUUCGAGUCGGUGGAUUACAAAGGUUAAAGUAGCACUCAAAUCUUAUAUUACUCGGAGUUUCAUCACAUCUCCU